AGAAAAAAUUAAUUUUGAUUAGCGAAAACAUUCCUGCAGACUUCGUGUCGUCGACGUCGCGUCAAAUUUAUUAAAAUCACAAACGCAGCGACACACGAGAAAUCGGCGGACGUCGCGCAUUGCGAAUCCAAUUACAAUUUCUGUGUCGCGAAUAUCAGAAGUGCUUAUUCGCUCCGACAUUUCACGGAUCGCCGAUUCAUCGAUCAGUUUCCUCUCCUCUUUCAGCGGGGAAUUCAGUUCAGCGCUCUUAUCAUGCCCUUUUAACGCAACGGCUUAUUAUUAAACGCGAUACUUGGGCAUUAAUGCAUUAUUUAUAUAUAACGAUUUUUAAACAGACUUGACUUGUCAAAGUCCGACUUGGUCUAUAUCGCAAGGGACGCGUUCUAACAUUUUAUCCCGUAAUACUCGUUCAAGUAUCUAACAUUUAUUUCUUUUAUUGGGUCACUGUAGCAGGAGAAAGAGCCAAUAAAGACACAUAUUGACAUAAAUUUUUGUUCCUUGAAUUUUUGUUUCUAUAUCUAACGAAAGAUUUUAUAUCACAGUGUUCUUUUCUUUUUUCUCUGUUUCACAUUUCUCUAUAUCUGUUUCAUGGACUAAAUAAUUAUAUUUCUUUAUCCAAUAACGAAUUACACAAUUAUGAAACCCAAGCGCAUUGAGUAAGAAUCAGUCGUAAAAAUGUCUACCUAAAAAGGGUGUCGAGUGAAGGAGUUUGGCGUGUGAAACGUGUAUUCUCGAUUGCACGUGGCACAGCAUUGAAAAACGCGAGAGAAAUCGUAGUCAGCGCAUUAUGGAUACUUCCGGUCGAGCGAUUCUCUUUUAACGAAUUCCACAUACAAGUGAGUAUCGAGUACAGAGCAAGGUGUCAUAGAGACUCUCUUUCGCGAUGUUUUAGCGGUGUACCACUUAAUUGCAUUUUAAACGAUCGCUUGACAUAAUCCACCGUCAGCCGAAGCCAAUUAACGGAUUAAUACAAAGGAUUCUUUAGUAAAGUAAAAAAAUACGAUUACGUUUUGACGAAAGAUUUUACUAAAGCGACUAAAAAUUUUGCUACAUGUAGAUAUAAAAAUAGCUGUAAAGUUUUGAAUUUUCUAACAAGUUCUUAAAUAAUUAUUUUCAGAGCUACAUUUAGUUCAAUUUUUAAAUACUUUAACUAAACCGUUCUCUUUUUCCAUUUUGUCUUUCAUAUGUAUCAGUACUGUUAACUAUCAUUUUUAAGAAACAUACAAAUAAAUGUGUGUCUACAAGCAAUUUGUGAAACAAUUUUCUUCCCUUUCCCAUUUCUCUCUCUCUCUCUCUCUCUUUCUCUAGGAGGCAUGUCACUAUUGAUCGCACCAUAUGUCGCGUGGUUAACAUCUUAAUCCAAUUAGUAUAUACUAGCGGAGCAACUCGCCCAUAUGCGACAUGCGAAUGAUGGCCUCGCAAUUGAACUACAAUCGGGAAAGUUAGAAAAAGAGAAGAAGGGGGAGGGGAGAGAAAAGGACGCGAUUUCGUCAGAGAGUCCGUAGAAAGCGGCGGGAAUGGCUCAGCUGACAAUGUCCAGCGAGACGAAUGGUCACGCUUCCAGCUUCCGCUUCUCCGCGGUCGUAGUUUCGACGACAGACACGGAUUUCGUUAACAAUGGAAGCGAGUGGCGAUCUCGCCAUCAGGCUACUCAAUCGGCGCGGCUGUUAUAGGGUCAGCUAAUUAUGACUGAUGGGGCUACUGACCGCGCGAUCGAUCGCAUAACGUUCCCUCUUGUUAUGCCGAGGCCCGCGCGCGUGCCGGACCAGGCCAGCCAGAGGCAUGAUUUCACGGCUUCCGCCGCAAUGAAACUGUCUGUUCGUUCACCGCAGUUCCGCCGGCGCGGUGACGGUCAACGAGAUAUCGCGCUACUGCUGUCGCCGAUCUUUCUGCCACAUUUCGCUGGAAACUAUACUGCUGAAACAAUUUUCUCACGGCAUAUCGCCAAGUUUAUCGUCCGAAGAAAACAGUCUUAUUUUAUACCGGUCUAUUAAAUAGAAAUGUCAAAUUGCAGUUUUAUUUUCCACUAAAAUUGCGCGGAAUUCUUGCGGAAAUAAACAUGUAUUGGAUGUAUCUAUUAUUUUACCUAAAAUCUCAAUAAUCAUCGCCGUUCUCCAUCGAUUCAACAUUAAGCAUAUUUGCUCGUACCAAAUCAUUUAUUAUCAGCGAGACGAUAACGCAAUCUUCCAUCAUUGAUAAGCAGUCAACAGUAUAUAGUCAAAAAUUCAUCCGGAUGUAUCAUAUAAGUCAUUUUACAAAGAUAUAUCAUUGUUUAGGUAUAUUUAUACUUAUAAUUGAGUUGGUCAAUAAUUCCGUUGUUUUUUGCCGAUAGAUUGCCUUUAGUUUUUCGCCGAGAAAAACAGAAAGUUCUUUGAAUGUGAAAUUGUGAAGUCCGAAAGAUAAUAAAAAAUAGUGAAGCACAACGACUAAUAUAUUCUUAAAUCUUAUAUAAUUAUUAUAAAAGUUAUUGCUUUCUAAUUAAAAAAAAUGUUUUUAAUUUAUAGAUAAUAACACGGAAUUGUUGGCCAAUCUAAUAAUAUACUUAGUUAAAAUAUAAACAAUAAUAGUACAUGACAGUUUUAAUGAAAACUUUCAUGACAACACAAUUGUAAAAACAUAAAAGACGUCUCGAAGGUAGAAGCUUCAUCCGAUAAAAAUCUCUGAAUAGCUUAUGCAAAAGCUCAUGAACGCGCGCAGAGGAAUGAAAUGUCUUCCUCGAAGAAUGAUCCCGAUAUCAAGAGCUACCCUUUAAAUCUGUUUUCGAUCUGCCGUUUGAAAUCUCAGAAGCAAUCUUGUGACUCAUGGCAGGUGGAGACAUCCGCUGAUAGAAAAUGAUAUACUCACGAAUGUUCUCAGAAGGAUUAUCUCACGGCGUUUUUAACGUACGGCAAAUGUCUCGCGAACAGUUUUAACAGAUUGCAGACUGGCAAUUCUAAGACCGGCUCGGACAAUAAGACGAACACGCGUCCCCCUGGCCUUGUUACCGCUUGCAUCCUUCAGAACGAUUAACAAUGCCGCGAUUAUAAGCACGCGACGCAAGGACGUGUGCGUGACGUGCGUGCGUUAUCAUGCUGCUGAAUUUAUAUUUGUACGUCUUUGAUAACGUGUUGCCUAACCCGUCUUCGUGAUAAGGAUCUCUCUCUCUCUCUCUCUCUAUCUAUCUAUCUAUUAAUCUAUCUAUUUAUCUAUUUAUCUCUCUCUCUCUUCUUUGCGAGGAAGUCGUCCCCGCGAUCCGAGCGAUCGAGGAUAGAGAUUGAGCGCGGGCCGCAUCUAAUUGAAUCAAGUUGAAAAGUAAUAGAUCCAAUUAUAUCGGGCGACUACUUUGUGAUGCGUAUCGUUAUAAAGGGGGGAAAAGAAAUUGAGAGUCUCGUUUGCGCCACGUGUCAAUAAAAAAUAAUUCUCUGAUGGGAUCGCGCUUUGAUAAAUCUUCUCCUCCCCUCAUUGCGCUUCUUUAAAUAAAUAUUUAUCGAUCCCUACGAUAUGGGGAACGCCGCAGAAGUCGUAACGUAAAUGCAAAUCCUAACAGGAUAUCGCCAUUAUAUCGGCCGGUGUACGCAAUGUGCACAACCGUAAAAUUCCCAGGGCAUAAUAACAGUUGUAAAAGUGUUCUCAGAAGGUACGGAGGUUACCGAUACGCGUACCUUAUCGGGGAGAGCUUUAAAGACACGUCAUUACACGCAUCAAUGACGAUUCUUCUCUCUUUCUUUCUCUCUGCUCUACGCCGUUACCAUUGCUCUAAUUUCCACAAUAGGAGAUAGUGGCAUUAGAUUGCAAUUGGAGAGAAUUUUGCCUCGUGAAUGGAAUAUAUCGAAUGAUGUCGCAGUGAAAAUCGCCAUCCUAGUGAAAAUUGCAGGAAGAGAUUGCAGGAAACAAUUUUCGGUUUUCCAAAAGUAUUUAAAACUUUAGCUGGACAACACAAUUACUGAAAGUAAUUUUUAUCAGAGUAUGCAGAACACUCGAUCUAGUUGCUGGAAUGUCGAAAUUUUAUGCCAACAAAAUGAUUUUUUAAUCUGUGUUUAUAUGUAGUAAAAUUUUUUAAUAUUUUAUAAAAUAAAAAUGUUCUUUUCGUGGAAAUUUUAGUCUGUCGAAUUUAUUGGAAUAUGCUGCGUAUUAAAAAUACAGAUGUUUAAACGGUUUGAAAGUGUUUUAUAAAAAUGUAGAUUCCACUUGCAAUCAGUCCUCAGCAAUUGUCAAUGCAAUUGUCGACGGCAUUCAGUCCGAGAAGCACUUACACAGUUGACAACGUCCAAUAAGCAUAAGGCGGCCAUGCGACGGCAAUCGUUCCUUUAACCGUUCGAGCCAAAUAGAGAUCGCCUACGAAAACUUCUCGUCGAGAUCUACCUCGGUCGCAUGAAAGUGAGGGACGGCGCGAGGAAGAAGAGAAAAAGGCGCAAACUAGUUCAACGAACCUGUUAAAGUCCGUCGUGGAAAACGUGACUCACCGUGCGUGUAAGCGCGCGCGAGGUGCAAUGCCGCAUAAUUCUGUUUUGUAAAUUUAUUAAGCAGCAGCGAUCGGAACGCGUGUGUUGCAUCGGGAAUUCCAAUCGUCGCCGGCAUCAGACAAUUUCAUCAUGUGACAGCGCGCGAAACCUACGCCUUCGAAUCGCAUUAGGACUGUUAUACUUUCAACCAUUUCGAAUAUUUAGAGUCUCGAAGAAUUCUGAAACUUCAAGACUUUAAAUUUUCGAACCUUCGAAAUUAACUUUGAACUUCGAAUACUCG
Monomorium pharaonis (pharaoh ant) is the source of this 4722-nucleotide long non-coding RNA. RefSeq lists it as uncharacterized. NCBI's taxonomy places the organism in Eukaryota, Metazoa, Arthropoda, Insecta, Hymenoptera, Formicidae. The record is from RefSeq and is a predicted model, not a curated record. The transcript has 2 exons.